UACGAAGGGGGCUAGCGUUGCUCGGAAUUACUGGGCGUAAAGCGCACGUAGGCGGACUGUCCAGUCAGGGGUGAAAUCCCGGGGCUCAACCUCGGAACUGCCUUUGAUACUGUCAGUCUAGAGUCCGGAAGAGGUGGGUGGAACUCCUAGUGUAGAGGUGAAAUUCGCAGAUAUUAGGAAGAACACCGGUGGCGAAGGCGGCCCACUGGUCCGGUACUGACGCUGAGGUGCGAAAGCGUGGGGAGCAAACAGG
RNAcentral lists this ribosomal RNA (253 nucleotides) under uncultured bacterium. RNAcentral's name for it is "partial 16S ribosomal RNA". It matches the Rfam family "Bacterial small subunit ribosomal RNA", at positions 524 to 776 of the family's 1533-position model. The record is from RNAcentral.